AGGAAGAGUAGUAUGCACCUUUGUUGAAAUUAAGGGUUAUGGCCGGGCACGGUGGCUCAUGCCUGUAAUCCCAGCACUUUGGGAGGCUGAGAUGGGCAGAUCACGAGGUCAGGAGAUCGAGACCAUCCUGGCUAACAAAAUACAAAAAAUUAGCUGGGCGUGGUGGUGGGUACCUGUAGUCCCAGCUACUUGGGAGGCUGAGGCAGGAGAAUGGCAUGAACCCAGGAGGUGGAGCUUGCAGUGAGCCGAGAUCAUGCCACUGCAGUCCAGCCUGGGCAACAGGGUGAGACUCUCAAAAAAAAAAAUAAUAAUAAUAAUAAGGUUAUCCGAAUAUUGUGGUGUGUACCUGUGGUUCCAGCUACUUGGGAGGCUGAGGUGGGAGGAUUGCGAGUCUGGGAGGUUGAGGCUGCCAUGAGCCAUGAUUGUGCCACUGCACUCCAGCCUGGCAGACACAAUGAGAGCAAGGGUCUAUAUGUUAUCACUUACUUAAAUGGUAGAAAUUAAACCAGGGUCCACUUAUAUAACAAGUAUUAUUUAGAUUUGAAUUUUAGAGAAGGAAAACUUAGGUCAUCUUAUAAGCUGGAUUGUUUUACACUAUAUAAUAGACAACCUGCCAAUAGCUGAGUAAAAACAGAGAUCCAUUUAUCCCCAUAUUCUAGGGGUUCCCCCUUGACGUGAUUCCCAGUGCUCUGAUACUUCCCCUGUAUAUAAGUCUGAUCACUUGUGCCAUAAGGCAAUCCCCUUCAAUGGUCCUACACCAUAAGGCCAUCCUCUUUACUUACCCUUUGUUCACAUGUGGGUCUGCUAAAAAAAGGCCUCUGCCUUCCAAACUACCAUGAGCUCCUUAUAAGUCCUUAGGUUGCAGGCUUGGGGAAACAAAUACAAUCCAGGCUCAUCCUCUCAGUGUGCUCUGUUCCAUCUGCCCCAGAGCCCAGGGAGGGGGAUGCCGGCUUCCAGAACAAUCCCUGCUGCAGUGGAGGUGCUGGUAUUUCUUAGCUCCACCUAUAAUAACAAAACAUUUAAAAUGUCAGCUGAAUUUAAUUUUUUUGCCAGCCUAAUAAAAAGGAAAUAUAAUUUGUAGGAAAGAAAAUAAACCAGAGAUGGCUUACUUCAUAAAAUAAUUUUAUAUAGAAUUCCUUUUAAUCACAAACAUUAAUAUAUGUUCUUGAUUCAUUGGUAAAUUUGCUUGACUUUUACAAAAAAGCUGUACACUCUUACAAAAAAGCUGUACACUCUUAAAGGAUCCCAUUAGAACUCAGAACAAAGUUUCUGCUGUCACUGUUUAAUAAAAGUAG
RNAcentral lists this long non-coding RNA (1295 nucleotides) under Papio anubis (olive baboon). Its description in RNAcentral is "lncRNA (ENSPANG00000050717.1)". Lineage: Eukaryota; Metazoa; Chordata; Mammalia; Primates; Cercopithecidae. The record is from RNAcentral.